This 818-nucleotide long non-coding RNA is filed under the name Betta splendens (Siamese fighting fish). RNAcentral's name for it is "lncRNA (ENSBSLG00000005780.1)". Lineage: Eukaryota; Metazoa; Chordata; Actinopteri; Anabantiformes; Osphronemidae. The record is from RNAcentral.
AUGAGCGGCUCCGCUGGCGAGAGGACGCGGCGCGUGUUGGGCUGGACCUCCCUCCUCUGGUUCACCUCAGCCGUCGGCUUCGCAGCCGGUAACAAGUUGGCCCUGGAGGUUCCGCUGGAGGUGAACGCCGGCUGCGGAGACAACGUGACGCUCACGUGCGACGCCCGCACCGUCCAGGCGCCCGGCGACAGCUCCGCGCCGACGCUCGACAUCCUCAUGUUCGCCUGGUUGGACGGCAAGAAGACGCUGUGUGAGAGCGUCAACGGGAACACGGACCCCGGGGAUCUGUGUGAGGUCACAGCGGGAGCGUCCCACCACCGGCUCACGCUCACGCUCCUCAACGUGAUGCCAGUCAACGAGGGGAAGUACAUCUGCAAAUUCCGGUCCAAACUGGGAUCAGUGUUCAAUGUCACCAACCUCACAGUCACACAUUGCUCUCAGCUGAUCGCGGUGGAGAGGAGCGCGUCGGUGCUGGAGAGGAGCACGACGGCGGGAGGCCGACGGGACCGCCUGCACUGGAUCUGCGCUAUGGUGGCUGUGAUCACGUUCAAGUCUGUGACAUAGAGAGAAAACCACCAGAAGCACAGCGCGUCCCAACGGGGAACCUGGCUCCAGCCAAGCGUUCCACCAGCUUCACCACAUGAGGGCAGCACCGCAUUUAGUGACGCUCAACUUUCUGCAUGUGGGACUUUGACUCUAACUCUGCUUAAAUGGAAGACUUCGCUUUGUUAGUGGGAACCGACGCUCUGACGUGGAUCAAAGGCUUUUGUUUUUUAAGGCUGUGUAAAAAUGCUGAAUAAAAAUGUGAGUAGCAUUCA